Molecule: ribosomal RNA, 458 nt
Filed under: uncultured Sphingobacteriales bacterium
Lineage: Bacteria; Pseudomonadati; Bacteroidota; Sphingobacteriia; Sphingobacteriales
Description: bacterial SSU rRNA
Rfam family: Bacterial small subunit ribosomal RNA
Source: RNAcentral
CACAAGCGGUGGAUGAUGUGGAUUAAUUCGAUGCAACGCGAAAACCUUACCUACCCUUGACAUGUCCGGAAUCCUGCAGAGAUGCGGGAGUGCCCGAAAGGGAAUCGGAACACAGGUGCUGCAUGGCUGUCGUCAGCUCGUGUCGUGAGAUGUUGGGUUAAGUCCCGCAACGAGCGCAACCCUUACCGUUAGUUACCAUCAGGUUAAGCUGGGGACUCUAGCGGGACUGCCACCGUAAGGUGAGAGGAAGUGGGAUGACGUCAAAUCAGCACGGCCCUUAUGUCCAGGGCUACACACGUGUUACAAUGGCCAGUACAAAGGGCAGCUACCGGGUGACCGGAUGCUAAUCUCUAAAGCUGGUCUCAGUUCGGAUCGAAGUCUGCAACCCGACUUCAUGAAGCUGGAUUCGCUAGUAAUCGCGCAUCAGCCAUGGCGCGGUGAGUACGUUCCCGGGCCUU